GAUGAACGCUGGCGGCGUGCCUAACACAUGCAAGUCGAACGCUCGCAAGAGAGUGGCGCACGGGUGAGUAACACGUAGCUAAUCUGCCCUCAAGACAAGGAUAACUGUAGGAAACUACUGCUAAUACUUGAUAAGCUUACGGACUGUAGAGGUCUAUAAGAAAGAUUUAUCGCUUGAGGAUGAGGCUGCGCGCCAUCAGCUAGUUGGUAAGGUAAUGGCUUACCAAGGCGACGACGGCUAGGGGACCUGAGAGGGUGACCCCCA
RNAcentral lists this ribosomal RNA (264 nucleotides) under uncultured bacterium. Its description in RNAcentral is "partial 16S ribosomal RNA". It matches the Rfam family "Bacterial small subunit ribosomal RNA", at positions 28 to 310 of the family's 1533-position model. The record is from RNAcentral.